AAGUGCCCAACGUAUGUUAAAUGUAGAGG
Molecule: non-coding RNA, 29 nt
Filed under: Cricetulus griseus (Chinese hamster)
Lineage: Eukaryota; Metazoa; Chordata; Mammalia; Rodentia; Cricetidae
Source: RNAcentral